AGAGUUUGAUCCUGGCUCAGAACGAACGCUGGCGGCAGGCUUAACACAUGCAAGUCGAACGGACGUAGCAAUACGUUAGUGGCAGACGGGUGAGGAACACGUGGGAAUAUCCCCUUCAGUUCGGAAUAACUCAGGGAAACUUGAGCUAAUACCGGAUACGUCAGAGAUGAGAAAGAUUUAUCGCUGAAGGAUUAGCCCGCGUCUGAUUAGCUAGUUGGUGAGGUAAUGGCUCACCAAGGCGACGAUCAGUAGCUGGUCUGAGAGGAUGAUCAGCCACAUUGGGACUGAGACACGGCCCAAACUCCUACGGGAGGCAGC
RNAcentral lists this ribosomal RNA (318 nucleotides) under uncultured bacterium. RNAcentral describes it as "bacterial SSU rRNA". It matches the Rfam family "Bacterial small subunit ribosomal RNA", at positions 8 to 352 of the family's 1533-position model. The record is from RNAcentral.